CCCGGCCUGAUCUGUCCAGUGAACACAAUUCAACGGGCGCAGUAUCUUAACUGUGCUAAGGUAGCGUAACCACUUGCUUUUUAAUUGAAAGCUUGAAUGAAUGAUUCGACGAGAAGUUAACUCUCUUAAAUCUCCGAUCAACUUUCUCGGGAGGUAAAAAAGCCCCCCUCCUCCGAUAGGACGACAAGACCCUGCAAAGCUUUACUCGCCGCUCUUAUCAACUUAAAAGACAACCGAGUUUUGCUGGGGCGGCAAAUUCUAAUAGCAACAAAAUUUUUUACAACACCUUGGGUGACAUCCAUUAACCUUUUUUAUGGAAUAAAACAAGUUACUUCAGGGAUAACAGCGCUAUGCUCCUCUAGAGUCCCUAUCGACAGGAGCGUUUGCGACCUCGAUGUUGAAUUGAAGCGCCUACUUGGGGCAACCCUCAAGCGAGGGAGUCUGUUCGUCU
Molecule: ribosomal RNA, 451 nt
Filed under: Thermosphaeroma thermophilum
Lineage: Eukaryota; Metazoa; Arthropoda; Malacostraca; Isopoda; Sphaeromatidae
Description: partial 16S ribosomal RNA
Rfam family: Bacterial large subunit ribosomal RNA
Source: RNAcentral